GGGACCCCGCACAAGGCGGUGGAUCAUGUUGUUUAAUCGAUGAUACGCGAAGAAUCUACCAGGUCUUGACAUCCCCCGCGAUGCUUUAGAGAUAAAGCGGAGGUAUUCGGGGAGACAGGUGGUGCAUGGUUGUCGUCAGCUCGUGUCGUGAGAUGUUGGGUUAAGUCCCGCAACGAGCGCAACCCUUGUGUUUAGUUGCAAACAGGUCAAGCUGUGCACUCUAGACAGACUGCCGUGGACAACACGGAGGAAGGUGGGGAUGACGUCAAAUCAUCAUGCCCCUUAUGAUCUGGGCUACACACGUGCUACAAUGGCCGGUACAACGGGCAGCGAAGGAGCGAUCCGGAGCGAAUCCUAAAAAGCCGGUCCCAGUUCGGAUUGCAGGCUGAAACUCGCCUACAUGAAGUUGGAGUUGCUAGUAAUCGCGAAUCAGAAUGUCGCGGUGAAUGCGUUCCCGGGUCUU
Molecule: ribosomal RNA, 463 nt
Filed under: uncultured Fusibacter sp.
Lineage: Bacteria; Bacillati; Bacillota; Clostridia; Eubacteriales; Fusibacteraceae
Description: bacterial SSU rRNA
Rfam family: Bacterial small subunit ribosomal RNA
Source: RNAcentral